UUUUUGGAGAGUUUGAUCCUGGCUCAGGACGAACGCUGGCGGCGUGCCUAAUACAUGCAAGUCGAGCGGAUCAAUAGAAGCUUGCUUCUGUUGGUUAGCGGCGGACGGGUGAGUAACACGUGGGCAACCUGCCUGUAAGACUGGGAUAACUUCGGGAAACCGGAGCUAAUACCGGAUAAUUCAUCCCCUCGCAUGAGG
Molecule: ribosomal RNA, 198 nt
Filed under: Neobacillus thermocopriae
Lineage: Bacteria; Bacillati; Bacillota; Bacilli; Caryophanales; Bacillaceae
Description: Bacterial small subunit ribosomal RNA
Rfam family: Bacterial small subunit ribosomal RNA
Source: Rfam by way of RNAcentral